Molecule: long non-coding RNA, 448 nt
Filed under: Cottoperca gobio
Lineage: Eukaryota; Metazoa; Chordata; Actinopteri; Perciformes; Bovichtidae
Description: lncRNA (ENSCGOG00000020112.1)
Source: RNAcentral
AAUCAAUCCAACGCACCACUAAAUACUGUUCUCUACCUCUACGCUCGCGCGCAAGAACGUCAAGUGCGCACGACGAUUGUGGUUAUAAAGACAAACCCAUUCCUACCCGAGUGAAUUCAUUCAAACCAGUGAGAUCAAACUCAGAGUGCAACACAAAUAUCCUCAGGGAGCUUCUCCGUAAACUGCCCAGGUGCUCCAUCCCAUCCUGCAGUAAGCCUCCAAUGAUGAACCUACCCUCCUGCCUGAUGAACUUGUACUUUAGAGCAAUGAGACCUCCAGUUUUCUGCCACGGUGUUUACUCUGAGGCUGCCAGAGCAGGAAGGAGAGGGGAUCCAUUUGUCCCAAGGUGAGACACACUCUCCAACACCCCGAUGUUAAAUAAACACUCCCAGACCUCUGGCCAGCUCACUCCAGCCACUGGAAUACCAUUGGUGUGUCUAGAUGAUGG